RNAcentral lists this ribosomal RNA (521 nucleotides) under uncultured bacterium. RNAcentral describes it as "bacterial SSU rRNA". It matches the Rfam family "Bacterial small subunit ribosomal RNA", at positions 988 to 1509 of the family's 1533-position model. The record is from RNAcentral.
CCAGAGAACUUAGCAGAGAUGCUUUGGUGCCUUCGGGAACUCUGAGACAGGUGCUGCAUGGCUGUCGUCAGCUCGUGUUGUGAAAUGUUGGGUUAAGUCCCGCAACGAGCGCAACCCUUAUCCUUUGUUGCCAGCGGUUCGGCCGGGAACUCAAAGGAGACUGCCGGUGAUAAACCGGAGGAAGGUGGGGAUGACGUCAAGUCAUCAUGGCCCUUACGGCCAGGGCUACACACGUGCUACAAUGGCGCAUACAAAGAGAAGCGACCUCGCGAGAGCAAGCGGACCUCAUAAAGUGCGUCGUAGUCCGGAUUGGAGUCUGCAACUCGACUCCAUGAAGUCGGAAUCGCCAGUAAUCGUAGAUCAGAAUGCUACGGUGAAUACGUUCCCGGGCCUUGUACACACCGCCCGUCACACCAUGGGAGUGGGUUGCAGAAGAAGUAGGUAGCUUAACCUUCGGGAGGGCGCUUACCACUUUGUGAUUCAUGACUGGGGUGAAGUCGUAACAAGGUAGGCGUAGCGAG